Molecule: ribosomal RNA, 468 nt
Filed under: uncultured bacterium
Lineage: Bacteria
Description: partial 16S ribosomal RNA
Rfam family: Bacterial small subunit ribosomal RNA
Source: RNAcentral
GACGAACGCUGGCGGCGUGCUUAACACAUGCAAGUCGAACGGAAAGGCCCUGCUUUUGUGGGGUGCUCGAGUGGCGAACGGGUGAGUAACACGUGAGUAACCUGCCCUUGACUUUGGGAUAACUUCAGGAAACUGGGGCUAAUACCGGAUAGGAGCUCCUGCUGCAUGGUGGGGGUUGGAAAGUUUCGGCGGUUGGGGAUGGACUCGCGGCUUAUCAGCUUGUUGGUGGGGUAGUGGCUUACCAAGGCUUUGACGGGUAGCCGGCCUGAGGAGGUGACCGGCCACAUUGGGACUGAGGUCAGGCCCAGACGCCUACGGGGGGCAGCGGGGGGGAAUAUUGCACAAUGAGCGGAAGCCUGAUGCAGCAACGCCGCGUGCGGGAUGACGGCCUUCGGGUUGUAAACCGCUUUCGCCUGUGACGAAGCGUGAGUGACGGUAAUGAGUAAAGAAGCACCGGCUAACUACGUG